This 205-nucleotide long non-coding RNA is filed under the name Mytilus galloprovincialis (Mediterranean mussel). The record is from RNAcentral. Lineage: Eukaryota; Metazoa; Mollusca; Bivalvia; Mytilida; Mytilidae.
UCCUGCAUUGGUAAAUCUAAACCCACCAAAACCCUUCGAUAACAUUGCUAUAUCCUAUAUAGGAUAAUAAAGUGAAUAUAACAUGAAUAAUACCUAAUUGCUUGUGAUGGUGUGUAUUAAAUCCAUGAUCACAAGCAGGAAAUUUCUAAUUCAAACUUCCUACGGUUAUAUCUCAAGGAGGUUUGUUUAUACAUCAUGUUAAAAU